UGAAUGAAGUAAAUAAAUAUUAUAGUUGGGC
RNAcentral lists this non-coding RNA (31 nucleotides) under Mus musculus (house mouse). Lineage: Eukaryota; Metazoa; Chordata; Mammalia; Rodentia; Muridae. The record is from RNAcentral.